Molecule: ribosomal RNA, 621 nt
Filed under: uncultured archaeon
Lineage: Archaea
Description: bacterial SSU rRNA
Rfam family: Archaeal small subunit ribosomal RNA
Source: RNAcentral
AAAUAUCCAUAGAUUAGAGACACUGGAAUGUUCUUUAGUCGAAAGUUCUGGCGCCUUAGGAUGGAUCUGCGGUCGAUUAGGUUGUUGUUGGGGUAACGGCCCAACAAGCCUGUAAUCGAUACGGGUUGUGGGAGCAAGAGCCCGGAGAUGGAAUCUGAGACACGAUUCCAGGCCCUACGGGGCGCAGCAGGCGCGAAAACUUUACAAUGCAGGAAACUGUGAUAAGGGAACUCCGAGUGCCCGUAUACGCGGGCUGUCCAGGUGUUUAAAAAUCAUCUGAAGAAAGGGCCGGGCAAGACCGGUGCCAGCCGCCGCGGUAAUACCGGCGGCUCGAGUGGUGGCCACUAUUAUUGGGCUUAAAGCGUCCGUAGCUGGACCGAUAAGUCUCUUGGGAAAUCCGCCGGCUCAACCGGCGGGCGUCUAAGGGAUACUGUUAGUCUGGGGACCGGGAGAGGUGAGAGGUACUCCGGGGGUAGGAGUGAAAUCCUGUAAUCCCCGGGGGACCACCGAUGGCGAAGGCAUCUCACCAGAACGGCUCCGACAGUGAGGGACGAAAGCUGGGGGAGCGAACCGGAUUAAAUACCCGGGUAGUCCCAGCCGUAAACUAUGCGCGUUAGGUGU